Long non-coding RNA from Drosophila erecta, 982 nucleotides. RefSeq lists it as uncharacterized. The transcript is spliced from 3 exons. Lineage: Eukaryota; Metazoa; Arthropoda; Insecta; Diptera; Drosophilidae. The record is from RefSeq and is a predicted model, not a curated record.
AUCAAUAACUAUCGACUUCUCACAACACUAAAGACCUACGAUCUCUAAUAACCAAAAACAAAAAAAGCUAAUCAGAAGAAUUAAUUCAAACAAACGACGGGAAAUAAAAAUUCUUGUGGCCGUUGGUGUUGUAACCAUGCGCACACACUCAACCUAGGACGCCCGGAGGAUUCUGCGGGACGUCACCCCUUAUAAAUAAGUCAGAGUCGCGUUUGUGAAAGGUCAAAGCGGUAAUUAUACAAAGCCCGGGAGAUUUACAAGACACCGUGGAAACUUGCCUCGCAAUUGACGCUGCGUAUGAUGGCUGCACAGAAAGCGGACAUAUAUACAUAUAUGUGGUUCACCUAGUCCAAGGAUAAGGCGGGACGUGCAAACAAGUGCGGCAGUUGAAGCGGCACGACGGCGAUGAUUCGGACUCGCGAUUUUUACUCUGGAUUGCUUAACAAUGAUUGACGCCAGGACUAGCGGCGACGCCGAACGGAAUACCCAGGAACCGGGUACAGUGGAUCCAGGCCAUUUAAGAGUAAUCCCUGCAAUCCGGAAUUAAAUCAAACGGCUAGAUCGCCCAACAGGUUUCCGAAAGCUUCUCACCAAAACCAUCACCAUAUCGUGCUACCUAUCGAUAAAGCCCCAUUAUCAUUGACUCCAACUGCAACAAAGUAGUGACGUGAACGUUUUGGGCAAUCUGUUGCCGUUAGGCAUAGAAAGUGACAAGAUAGAAAUUGGCGUGAUCGUUUUGAGAAAUUUUCAAGACAAAUAUGUAAUACAAAAAAUAUCCAAACAAGAGGGAGUAUUGUGCAGUUUGUGGGCAUUAGAGUAAGCGUUGCCUAAAUGUUUUUUGCAAUAGAAAUUGGCAAGACAAAUAAGAAAGCGAACCAUUUUGAAAAGUAUGGGGGUGACACGUGUGAGCUGUUUUACGGGCGGCUAUCUUGUAAAACAAAUCUUCGCUGCUUCUAAAUCUGUACAAGCUGCAUGCUUGUUU